RNAcentral lists this ribosomal RNA (398 nucleotides) under uncultured Lachnospiraceae bacterium. RNAcentral describes it as "bacterial SSU rRNA". It matches the Rfam family "Bacterial small subunit ribosomal RNA", at positions 355 to 767 of the family's 1533-position model. The record is from RNAcentral. Lineage: Bacteria; Bacillati; Bacillota; Clostridia; Lachnospirales; Lachnospiraceae.
UGGGGAAUAUUGGGCAAUGGGCGAAAGCCUGACCCAGCAACGCCGCGUGAAGGAAGAAGGCCUUCGGGUUGUAAACUUCUUUUAUCAGGGACGAAGGAAGUGACGGUACCUGAUGAAUAAGCCACGGCUAACUACGUGCCAGCAGCCGCGGUAAUACGUAGGGGGCAAGCGUUAUCCGGAUUUACUGGGUGUAAAGGGAGCGUAGGCGGUUUGGCAAGUCAGAAGUGAAAGCCCAAGGCUUAACCAUGGGACUGCUUUUGAAACUGUCAGACUGGAUUGCAGGAGAGGUAAGUGGAAUUCCUGGUGUAGCGGUGAAAUGCGUAGAUAUCAGGAGGAACACCGGUGGCGAAGGCGGCUUACUGGACUGUAAAUGACGCUGAGGCUCGAAAGCGUGGGGA